GAUGAACGCUGGCGGCGUGCCUAAUACAUGCAAGUCGAGCGAACAGACGAGGAGCUUGCUCCUCUGACGUUAGCGGCGGACGGGUGAGUAACACGUGGAUAACCUACCUAUAAGACUGGGAUAACUUCGGGAAACCGGAGCUAAUACCGGAUAAUAUAUUGAACCGCAUGGUUCAAUAGUGAAAGACGGUUUUGCUGUCACUUAUAGAUGGAUCCGCGCCGCAUUAGCUAGUUGGUAAGGUAACGGCUUACCAAGGCAACGAUGCGUAGCCGACCUGAGAGGGUGAUCGGCCACACUGGAACUGAGACACGGUCCAGACUCCUACGGGGGGCAGCAGUAGGGAAGAUUCCGCAAUGGGCGAAAGCCUGACGGAGCAACGCCGCGUGAGUGAUGAAGGUCUUCGGAUCGUAAAACUCUGUUAUUAGGGAAGAACAAAUGUGUAAGUAACUAUGCACGUCUUGACGGUACCUAAUCAGAAAGCCACGGCUAACUACGUG
RNAcentral lists this ribosomal RNA (497 nucleotides) under uncultured bacterium. RNAcentral's name for it is "partial 16S ribosomal RNA". It matches the Rfam family "Bacterial small subunit ribosomal RNA", at positions 28 to 507 of the family's 1533-position model. The record is from RNAcentral.